AGCGUACACGGUGGAUGCCCUGGCAGUCAGAGGCGAUGAAGGACGUGCUAAUCUGCGAUAAGCGUCGGUAAGGUGAUAUGAACCGUUAUAACCGGCGAUUUCCGAAUGGGGAAACCCAGUGUGUUUCGACACACUAUCAUUAACUGAAUCCAUAGGUUAAUGAGGCGAACCGGGGGAACUGAAACAUCUAAGUACCCCGAGGAAAAGAAAUCAACCGAGAUUCCCCCAGUAGCGGCGAGCGAACGGGGAGCAGCCCAGAGCCUGAAUCAGUGUGUGUGUUAGUGGAAGCGUCUGGAAAGGCGCGCGAUACAGGGUGACAGCCCCGUACACAAAAAUGCACAUGCUGUGAGCUCGAUGAGUAGGGCGGGACACGUGGUAUCCUGUCUGAAUAUGGGGGGACCAUCCUCCAAGGCUAAAUACUCCUGACUGACCGAUAGUGAACCAGUACCGUGAGGGAAAGGCGAAAAGAACCCCGGCGAGGGGAGUGAAAAAGAACCUGAAACCGUGUACGUACAAGCAGUGGGAGCACGCUUAGGCGUGUGACUGCGUACCUUUUGUAUAAUGGGUCAGCGACUUAUAUUCUGUAGCAAGGUUAACCGAAUAGGGGAGCCGAAGGGAAACCGAGUCUUAACUGGGCGUUAAGUUGCAGGGUAUAGACCCGAAACCCGGUGAUCUAGCCAUGGGCAGGUUGAAGGUUGGGUAACACUAACUGGAGGACCGAACCGACUAAUGUUGAAAAAUUAGCGGAUGACUUGUGGCUGGGGGUGAAAGGCCAAUCAAACCGGGAGAUAGCUGGUUCUCCCCGAAAGCUAUUUAGGUAGCGCCUCGUGAAUUCAUCUCCGGGGGUAGAGCACUGUUUCGGCAAGGGGGUCAUCCCGACUUACCAACCCGAUGCAAACUGCGAAUACCGGAGAAUGUUAUCACGGGAGACACACGGCGGGUGCUAACGUCCGUCGUGAAGAGGGAAACAACCCAGACCGCCAGCUAAGGUCCCAAAGUCAUGGUUAAGUGGGAAACGAUGUGGGAAGGCCCAGACAGCCAGGAUGUUGGCUUAGAAGCAGCCAUCAUUUAAAGAAAGCGUAAUAGCUCACUGGUCGAGUCGGCCUGCGCGGAAGAUGUAACGGGGCUAAACCAUGCACCGAAGCUGCGGCAGCGACACUAUGUGUUGUUGGGUAGGGGAGCGUUCUGUAAGCCUGUGAAGGUGUACUGUGAGGUAUGCUGGAGGUAUCAGAAGUGCGAAUGCUGACAUAAGUAACGAUAAAGCGGGUGAAAAGCCCGCUCGCCGGAAGACCAAGGGUUCCUGUCCAACGUUAAUCGGGGCAGGGUGAGUCGACCCCUAAGGCGAGGCCGAAAGGCGUAGUCGAUGGGAAACAGGUUAAUAUUCCUGUACUUGGUGUUACUGCGAAGGGGGGACGGAGAAGGCUAUGUUGGCCGGGCGACGGUUGUCCCGGUUUAAGCGUGUAGGCUGGUUUUCCAGGCAAAUCCGGAAAAUCAAGGCUGAGGCGUGAUGACGAGGCACUACGGUGCUGAAGCAACAAAUGCCCUGCUUCCAGGAAAAGCCUCUAAGCAUCAGGUAACAUCAAAUCGUACCCCAAACCGACACAGGUGGUCAGGUAGAGAAUACCAAGGCGCUUGAGAGAACUCGGGUGAAGGAACUAGGCAAAAUGGUGCCGUAACUUCGGGAGAAGGCACGCUGAUAUGUAGGUGAAGCGACUUGCUCGUGGAGCUGAAAUCAGUCGAAGAUACCAGCUGGCUGCAACUGUUUAUUAAAAACACAGCACUGUGCAAACACGAAAGUGGACGUAUACGGUGUGACGCCUGCCCGGUGCCGGAAGGUUAAUUGAUGGGGUUAGCGCAAGCGAAGCUCUUGAUCGAAGCCCCGGUAAACGGCGGCCGUAACUAUAACGGUCCUAAGGUAGCGAAAUUCCUUGUCGGGUAAGUUCCGACCUGCACGAAUGGCGUAAUGAUGGCCAGGCUGUCUCCACCCGAGACUCAGUGAAAUUGAACUCGCUGUGAAGAUGCAGUGUACCCGCGGCAAGACGGAAAGACCCCGUGAACCUUUACUAUAGCUUGACACUGAACAUUGAGCCUUGAUGUGUAGGAUAGGUGGGAGGCUUUGAAGUGUGGACGCCAGUCUGCAUGGAGCCGACCUUGAAAUACCACCCUUUAAUGUUUGAUGUUCUAACGUUGACCCGUAAUCCGGGUUGCGGACAGUGUCUGGUGGGUAGUUUGACUGGGGCGGUCUCCUCCUAAAGAGUAACGGAGGAGCACGAAGGUUGGCUAAUCCUGGUCGGACAUCAGGAGGUUAGUGCAAUGGCAUAAGCCAGCUUGACUGCGAGCGUGACGGCGCGAGCAGGUGCGAAAGCAGGUCAUAGUGAUCCGGUGGUUCUGAAUGGAAGGGCCAUCGCUCAACGGAUAAAAGGUACUCCGGGGAUAACAGGCUGAUACCGCCCAAGAGUUCAUAUCGACGGCGGUGUUUGGCACCUCGAUGUCGGCUCAUCACAUCCUGGGGCUGAAGUAGGUCCCAAGGGUAUGGCUGUUCGCCAUUUAAAGUGGUACGCGAGCUGGGUUUAGAACGUCGUGAGACAGUUCGGUCCCUAUCUGCCGUGGGCGCUGGAGAACUGAGGGGGGCUGCUCCUAGUACGAGAGGACCGGAGUGGACGCAUCACUGGUGUUCGGGUUGUCAUGCCAAUGGCACUGCCCGGUAGCUAAAUGCGGAAGAGAUAAGUGCUGAAAGCAUCUAAGCACGAAACUUGCCCCGAGAUGAGUUCU
This 2772-nucleotide ribosomal RNA is filed under the name Escherichia coli. Its description in RNAcentral is "bacterial LSU rRNA". It matches the Rfam family "Bacterial large subunit ribosomal RNA". The record is from RNAcentral. Lineage: Bacteria; Pseudomonadati; Pseudomonadota; Gammaproteobacteria; Enterobacterales; Enterobacteriaceae.